This 301-nucleotide ribosomal RNA is filed under the name uncultured bacterium. RNAcentral's name for it is "partial 16S ribosomal RNA". It matches the Rfam family "Bacterial small subunit ribosomal RNA", at positions 509 to 809 of the family's 1533-position model. The record is from RNAcentral.
CAGUAGCCGCGGUAAUACGUAGGUGGCGAGCGUUGUCCGGAAUCAUUGGGCGUAAAGGGAGCGCAGGCGGGCAUGUAAGUCUUUCUUAAAAGUUCGGGGCUCAACCCCGUGAUGGGAAAGAAACUACAUGUCUUGAGUACAGGAGAGGAAAGCGGAAUCCCCAGUGUAGCGGUGAAAUGCGUAGAUAUUGGGAGGAACACCAGUGGCGAAGGCGGCUUUCUGGACUGCAACUGACGCUGAGGCUCGAAAGCCAGGGGAGCGAACGGGAUUAGAUACCCGCGUAGUCCCUGUCUCUUAUACA